This 93-nucleotide ribosomal RNA is filed under the name Actinomycetota bacterium. RNAcentral's name for it is "partial 16S ribosomal RNA". It matches the Rfam family "Bacterial small subunit ribosomal RNA", at positions 1441 to 1533 of the family's 1533-position model. Lineage: Bacteria; Bacillati; Actinomycetota. The record is from RNAcentral.
UUGUGGAGGGAGCCGUCGAAGGUGGGGUCGGUGAUUGGGGUGAAGUCGUAACAAGGUAGCCGUACCGGAAGGUGCGGCUGGAUCACCUCCUUU